ACACUCAUUAAUACAUGAAGCCCACAUGUCAACCUUCUACACAACCCCUCUCUUCUUUCUGUCAUCUUAUUUCUUCUUUCUCUAGACAGACGCCAUGGCCAUGGAGGCUACUGCUGCUUGCACGGAAGGGGAGGGGCUCGAUUAGGCCGAGCCGAUCUGGCAGUGGCGUAGCGCCAGGCCGUGCGGCGCGGGUAUAGAUGGCCAUCGGGCCGUGCCGGCCCGGCCCGGUGGCCCGGCGUGCCGUGCCGUGCCGUGCCUGCCCCGGGCCGUACCGUGCCGUCGUGCCGGCCGGGCCGUGCCAUCAUCGUGCCUCGUGCCGGGGGUAUGGCCCAAGGCACGGCCCAUGGGCCAUCGGGCCGGCCCGAAGGCACGGCGGGCCACCGGGCCAAGGUCGUGCUAGACCAGUAGUAGACCUAUAUUUCCUUUUUUUGUUUACAAUUAGCAGGCUAUAUUUUUUAACAGGCCAAUUAGAAUGGACGGAUGGGCCAACAGACCUACAUUUUCUUUUUUUUUUAGAAUUAAAAGUUAUAUUUUUUUACUAGGCCAUUAAGCAUCGGGCCGUCGGGCCGUGCCUGAGCCGUGCCACGGGCCACGGUGGCGGCCCAGGCACGGCCCGGUAGUUGUCGGGCCGUGCUGUGCCCGGGCCGGGCCAAAAUGCCGUGCCGCGGGCCGGGC
Molecule: long non-coding RNA, 675 nt
Filed under: Sorghum bicolor (sorghum)
Lineage: Eukaryota; Viridiplantae; Streptophyta; Magnoliopsida; Poales; Poaceae
Description: long non-coding RNA (SBIC_LNC016661)
Source: RNAcentral